Molecule: ribosomal RNA, 533 nt
Filed under: uncultured Shewanella sp.
Lineage: Bacteria; Pseudomonadati; Pseudomonadota; Gammaproteobacteria; Alteromonadales; Shewanellaceae
Description: bacterial SSU rRNA
Rfam family: Bacterial small subunit ribosomal RNA
Source: RNAcentral
AUUGAACGCUGGCGGCAGGCCUAACACAUGCAAGUCGAGCGGUAACACAAGGGAGCUUGCUCCUGAGGUGACGAGCGGCGGACGGGUGAGUAAUGCCUAGGUAUCUGCCCAGUCGAGGGGGAUAACAGUUGGAAACGACUGCUAAUACCGCAUACGCCCUACGGGGGAAAGGAGGGGACCUUCGGGCCUUCCGCGAUUGGAUGAACCUAGGUGGGAUUAGCUAGUUGGUGAGGUAAUGGCUCACCAAGGCGACGAUCCCUAGCUGGUCUGAGAGGAUGAUCAGCCACACUGGAACUGAGACACGGUCCAGACUCCUACGGGAGGCAGCAGUGGGGAAUAUUGCACAAUGGGCGAAAGCCUGAUGCAGCCAUGCCGCGUGUGUGAAGAAGGCCUUCGGGUUGUAAAGCACUUUCAGCGAGGAGGAAAGGUUAGGUCUUAAUACGGCCUAGCUGUGACGUUACUCGCAGAAGAAGCACCGGCUAACUUCGUGCCAGCAGCCGCGGUAAUACGAGGGGUGCAAGCGUUAAUCGGAA